AUCCAGCUGAAAAGUCCCAAAUAGGAUGAAACGCGCAUUCUGGAU
Non-coding RNA from Schistosoma haematobium, 45 nucleotides. The record is from Rfam. Lineage: Eukaryota; Metazoa; Platyhelminthes; Trematoda; Strigeidida; Schistosomatidae.